Molecule: ribosomal RNA, 962 nt
Filed under: Cronobacter sakazakii
Lineage: Bacteria; Pseudomonadati; Pseudomonadota; Gammaproteobacteria; Enterobacterales; Enterobacteriaceae
Description: bacterial SSU rRNA
Rfam family: Bacterial small subunit ribosomal RNA
Source: RNAcentral
GGGAAAAGGCGGGGGCUACACAUGCAAGUCGAACGGUAACAGGGAGCAGCUUGCUGCUCUGCUGACGAGCAGCAAAAGGGUGAGUAAAGUCUGGGAAACUGCCUGAUGGAGGGGGAUAACUACUGGAAACGGUAGCUAAUACCGCAUAACGUCUACGGACCAAAGUGGGGGACCUUCGGGCCUCAUGCCAUCAGAUGUGCCCAGAUGGGAUUAGCUAGUAGGUGGGGUAACGGCUCACCUAGGCGACGAUCCCUAGCUGGUCUGAGAGGAUGACCAGCCACACUGGAACUGAGACACGGUCCAGACUCCUACGGGAGGCAGCAGUGGGGAAUAUUGCACAAUGGGCGCAAGCCUGAUGCAGCCAUGCCGCGUGUAUGAAGAAGGCCUUCGGGUUGUAAAGUACUUUCAGCGGGGAGGAAGGCGUUGUGGUUAAUAACCACAGCGAUUGACGUUACCCGCAGAAGAAGCACCGGCUAACUCCGUGCCAGCAGCCGCGGUAAUACGGAGGGUGCAAGCGUUAAUCGGAAUUACUGGGCGUAAAGCGCACGCAGGCGGUCUAUUAAGUCAGAUGUGAAAUCCCCGGGCUCAACCUGGGAACUGCAUUUGAAACUGGCAGGCUUGAGUCUCGUAGAGGGGGGUAGAAUUCCAGGUGUAGCGGUGAAAUGCGUAGAGAUCUGGAGGAAUACCGGUGGCGAAGGCGGCCCCCUGGACGAAGACUGACGCUCAGGUGCCAAAGCGUGGGCAGCAAACAGGAUUAGAUACCCUGGUAGUCCACGCCGUAAACGAUGUAGACUUGGAGGUUGUGCCCUUGAGGCGUGGCUUCCGGAGCUAACGCGUUAAGUCAACCGCCUGGGGAGUACAGCCGCAAGGUUAAAACUCAAAUGAAUUGACGGGGGCCCGCACAAGCGGUGGAGCAUGUGGUUUAAUUCGAUGCAACGCGAAGACUACCUGUAACCCCUUGC